Molecule: long non-coding RNA, 18993 nt
Filed under: Marmota monax (woodchuck)
Lineage: Eukaryota; Metazoa; Chordata; Mammalia; Rodentia; Sciuridae
Source: RNAcentral
GGCACAUCCUGGGCAGAGACCUGCUGCCCUGCUGUCCAAGGUCUGGCCGGACAGAGCCUCUUCCUCCUCCUGCCAGACGCCAGACCUGAGACCUUUGGGCCUGGGGAAAGGUCAGCUCACUUCCUCCCUGCCCGAGGUCUGCGGUAGAACGUGCUCCUGAAAGUGAGUCCCAAAACCCCGGAGCGGGGUUUCCCUGGCUUGGAGAAAGUCCUGCUGGGGGCUUUACUGGAGCCCACAGCCGCCGCGAGGCCAGGGGCCAGCGGGCCGGAGGGGGUUCCUGGAGACCCACAGACUUUCUCUGGGCUGAGUCCUGGAGUCGGCCCCUCCUUCCCGCCUCCCGCCCCUCCAGGCCCCUGCUGGGUGAGUGCGGUGCGCAGGGGUGUGGUUGGCUGGAGGCUGUCCUCCCUCCUGGCUGGGAAGCCUUGUUCUCUGCCUGUGGCCUCCUUUCCUGUGGCCUGAGAGCCCUUUUCUUAGGACGAGAGCUUGGGCGUGGGGUCUGCUCCCCUCUGGGAAGAGCUCCUCCUGAUCCUCAGCUAGUCACACCUGACAGCUCCUAGCUCCAAACAAGGCUACCUUCACGGGCUCAGGGCACCUGCACUGGCGGGCACUUCUCGCCCAGAGCCGGGCAGGGCUUGGGCUCCACCACUGGUCCAGCUGCCACAGUGUGGUCCUCCUGGUGUCUGCCAGUGAGACCUGUCACCCCUGUGUGCUGGGGUCUUGCCAUGGCCCUUGGGGCUGUUCUGACUCCACCUGGGGGCUCAGGGAGCUGGGGCGGAGGCUGGCAGCCUGGGAUGAGGGAGGUCCCGUCGCUACCCACCCCCCAGGCCUGACCAGCCCCUGAGCUUGUCUCCUACCGCCUUCCUGCACAGCCUCGCGCCGUGGACAGCAGGGCUGCCUCUCGUGUUGCAGGGGCAGGCAAAGUGCAGCAGCUGUGCGGAGACCGGUCGGGGCUCCUCAGCAAGCCGCACGUCCACUCCUGGGGAUGGGCACGCACAACAGAAAUGGGAACAGGCGGCCGGGCAAAAGCCCGCACCAGGCUGCUGACAGAUGGCAGCAAUGGCCCGAGCGUCUACUGACAAAUGAAGGGAGGGCAUCGUCACGCUGAUGCUCCAGGGGGCCUGGGCAGCGUCCUGGUGGACGGAGGGGCAAGGCAUGCCGUAGUCCCGCCCACACGGAAAGCACAGAAGGCAAACGCCCAGAGAAGGAAAGUGGGUGGUGGAGUCUCGGUCUGAGGGUGGAAGUGAGGUGGACUGACUGCCGAUGGGUCUCCCUGGGGAGGGGAGAAUGUUCUGGAACUAGAGAGGGCAGUGGUUGCCCAAUAGUGAGAGUGCCCUGACUUGUGCAUUGUAAAAUGUUAAACAGUCGAUUCCACGUCCUCGGUCUUUUACUUCCCGAAAAAUCAACCAGCAAGUGGCGACACUGCACCCUUUCUUGGAUCCCAGCCUGGGGUCAGAAUUCUGGCCAGGUCCUCUGCUCAGGAAUCAGGGGUUGACCCCAAAUGUCACCAGUCUGCUCUCUCUGGGUGCUCAGGACCCCUCUUGACUCAUUCAGUGGUCAGCAGAAUGUGGAUGCCGGAUGGAGGUCCCCUUCCUGCCUGCACUCCUGUGCUGGGGGUCACUCUCGGGCCUCUCCUGGGCCCGUCCCUCCAGGAGCCAGCUGUGGUACAUGAGAUCUCUGGCCUCCUCUUCUCUACCCGGCAGAGGAAGUACUGCUUGUCAAGCACCGGUGUGUCGGGAGGCCUGUCCAGGCCUCCUCCCUGCUUGUUCUAAGGUCAGCUCAUGAGGGACCCUAACCCACCUUCCCAGUCCCUCUGACCUGAAUGUAACGACCGAGGUGCAGCACUGACCGCAGGACUCUGUUUCCAAGUGCCCUGUUGUCCCUUCCACCGAGCCAUGUCCACGGCAGGUUUCUGAGAAGUGCCACUGGUCACCUGGGCUCCCGUUGGGACACAGGCACUGGCUCAGGUUUGGGUGAGGCCCGCGCAGGGCAGCCUGCUCCAGAACUGGGAGGCGGGGAUCCCUGAUGUGCUUCAGGGUGCCAACGGCCCUGCCCACGAGGCCCACAGUGAGGGGUGGGGUCUGGGGAAGCGCGGUAGGGUGCGCCUGGCCCCCUGCCAGCCCCGUGGCAGCUUUUCAAUACUGGCUUUCAGACUUCUCUGCCAGGGGCUUGACCUAACUGCCUUCGCGCUACACAGACGGAGCCCUGGGGGCCGAGUGGCUGCGGGUGGGAAGGCCCAGGGUGGUGUCCAGGGGCCGGCAAGGGAGGCGAGAAGGGAGGGGCUGCCAAGGAGGGACACAGAUGGCCUUGGCCCGUCUCCCUGGGUGGGCCCACUGCUCCUGGCCUGGGCUCAGACAGGCUCCUGCUGCCUCUCACGCUUGACAUUUGCUGGUGACAUGUAGGAGGGGCUGCGGGCAGGGUCCCCACCCUCCCUGCAGAUGAUGGUGUCUGGUUAUACAGCCAUUUCCUUGGGAAAGAAAGUGACCCGGGGGAUUCCUUUUUACUUACACCAUCUUGCCAAACUUCAACAUCCUGACUUGAAAGCACCGCUUGAAGCUCAGUGCCGAGGUUGACCUUGGCCUGCCCCACGGGCUUGUCCUAGAGAAGCAGAGGGGUCCGGCUCUGCUGACCUCUGCUGUGAGUCCGCUGACUUGCGACUGGUCUGCCCUCAGCCCUCGCCAGGCCCCUGGCCGCCCCUUGCCGCUCUGUUCUUGGGCCCUGAUCUUGAGUCACCUCCUGUUUUCCUGGGUAGUUAAUGUUGAGUUGUCUCCUCAGGAAGGGACGGUCCCUCGGGCAGCUUCUGAGCCACUGUGUAGCUGAGGAUGUCUUUCUGUUGCCUGGACACACACCACAGUGACCCACCGUGACCCAGCAGGAAGCAGAAGUCCAGUGUGCAGGGGUGGGGGGCUGUGGCCUGUAACGGGGGAGCCCCUGGGCGCUCGAGUCCCCUGGGCCCUGGUCCGAGGCCCCCACUGGAGGGGCGAGGGAUACCGGGCUGGUUCUCCUCACCUUGGCUGAGACCCAGGGAGCCCAUGUCCACUGAGGUUUCCUCCGUGGCCUGAGUGUGGGUGGGCUCGCUUCCGAGUGCUCCUGUCUCCCUACUGGAGUCCACCGUCUACCCUGCACUGUCCUCUCCUGCCAGGGCAGGGGCGCUGGGCGUGGCCAUGGGGUGCCGUCAGGAGCCGGGUCUCUUAGGCUCAUGGACAACGAGCAGCCAUUUCCUGCCUCAGUCUCCCCACCUAUGGUGACAGCCCUCCCUCAAGGACAGGUGUGAGGUGAAGGCCGUUGCACACACACACAGGCACCUGGUGGGCAGGUGUGAGGAGAAGGCCACACACACACACACACACGGGCACCUGGUGGGCAGGUGUGAGGAGAAGGCCACACACACACACACACACACACACACGGGCACCUGGUGGGCAGGUGUGAGGAGAAGGCCAUCGCACACACACACGGGCACCUGGUGGGCAGGUGUGAGGAGAAGGCCACACACACACACACACACACACACACAUGGGCACCUGGUGGGCAGAUGUGAGGAGAAGGCCAUCGCACACACACACGGGCACCUGGUGGGCAGGUGUGAGGAGAAGGCCACACAUACACACACACGGGCACCUGGUGGGCAGGUGUGAGGAGAAGGCCACACAUACACACACACGGGCACCUGGUGGGCAGUGGUGGGAGCUUUGCUCACUUUGCUGGUGGUCAUGAAACGAGGACAGCAGACAUUCCUGUGCUCCAGGCCCACCCAGGUGUGACGUGCAGGUGUGCUGGGGUGACACUCCCGCCUCUCCUGAGGGGGGGGAUAUGGGGAAGAGGGCUGUUCCCUGACCCACCGCUCCUGUCCACAGGAUGCCGUCCCUGACCUUGGGCCCGGGUGGGCGCCAGGCCCAGGAAGGCCGGUCAGACCCCUUCCUCAGGCUGAGAAUCUGCAGCUCAGCCCACCUUCUCCAGACCUCUGCUGAGGGACUGGAGGUCCCUGGCACUAGACGGCCUCAGCCCCAGUCCCAGGACUAGAUCAAGGGGACUGGAGGCGACCGGGUGGUGUCCAGUCUCUGAGGAAGCAGGGACAGAGUCCAGGUGGGUGGGCCCACUGCUCCUGGCCUGGGCUCCGACAUAGGCUCCCUGCUGCCCCUCUCGCCCCAGGACAGGUCUUUCCCUGCCGUUGGAGGCCUCCGACAGCCUGGUGCCCAGACUGUGGCAGCCCAUCCUCCUGGACCUGCCAGACCCGGGCUGUGCAGCAGGCAGCCCACUACCAGAGCCCCCUGGACCUUCACUGCUUUGAGAGCACCCAGGUGUCAUGAAGGUCCUGCCGUCCGUGGCGUCAGCUCGCCCGCCUGCCCCUGGGUUUGGUUUCUGCCUUCGAGCGCCCUGCAGAGCCUGCCGUGGAGAUAAGUUCUGACAUAUUGUGGAAUCCGGCAUUUAAAAAGUGAUUAUGAUUUCACACUUGUACACGUGUCCCAAUGCCUCCGCGGUUUGACACUCAGAAGCCGUGAGCCAAGCUUCCUCGCCACUCGGGCCUUCUGUCUCUUCCUCUCCCUCACCUCAUUCUCUCCUGCCAGAGCUAGAGUCACCCAGAUGUAUUCUAGUCUUGAAUGUGUUUUCCCGACCGCUGUCUUACUUUUCUGCAACAAAUUACACACUAGGAGAACCAGAGCCAGAGACGUUCACUGUCACCACGAGGCUCUGGGUGUAAGAUUUUUUCUGAAUUAUAAGCAGUGCAAUAAUUAAUAUGCAUUUGAUGAAAACAACCAGCAAAUGUCGACAUUAGAUAAAUAACCCCCCACUGGGGAUUGAGCUCAGGGGUGCUUAACCACUGAGUUAUAUACCCAUACCAUACCCAGUCCUUCUUAGUUUUUGAGACAGGGUUUUGGUUGCUUAGGGCCUUAGUCGCUGAGGCUGCACUUGAACUUGUGAUCCUCCUGCCCCGGCCUCCCCAGCCCCUGGGAUGACAGGUGGCGCCUCCACCGCUGGCUGAUGUCUGAAUGUGAGAGGCAGAUUGUUGGGGAAGCGUCUCCUCGCACGGCCUGUUUUUCCUUACUGUCUGGACUUGGUUAUGGCUAGAAUCACCGGAGCUCAGCAGGGCUGGGUCUCUCCUUGGUUCUACAAAGGGAAAUGGAUGGAGUUUUAUGGUAGCAGAAAAAGAAAGAAAGAGGAAUCAAGCCUCUGAGUCCUUUCCUAGCCAUGUUCCAAACACCCCGUGACAGGUGACGAGGCGGAUCUGCCAGGUGGGCUCAGCUGCCCUGUCCUCAGAGUCCCUGGGAAGUUCCUGACACAUGUGUGGCCGUGCAGCGGGCGUGGUUUCCGGGAAGCCCUCCAGGAGCCCCCCCGGCGGUGGCCACACCGUUGGGGUCCCUGCACCCGUGGCCGCCGGCUUGCCCCGACUGCUCUGCAGCGCAGGGAAGCCAGGGUUUCCCGGGACGGGCGUCUCCCCUGGCAUCGCCGCACAGUGGUACAAUGCCAUCCCCUGCCUCGAGUGCACUUUGUUGACAAACACGGAGCUCCAGGUUCCACGGCCUCGCGAGGGGCAUGUCACCAUGGCGCUCACCGACACGGUGGACACUCAAGGUUUCUCUCAGAGAAGCUGCAGAUGGGCUUGUCUGCUGCGCUCGCGUGGGAGGUGGGUCCCAGGAGCCGUGGCGGGCCGUCUGCACAGCAGGCCCGCGGCAGCACCAGGGUCGGCAGCACCAGGCGUCACCGCGUGGCCAGGGUGAGCCGAGCUGGCGGUGCGCUGUCCCCUGGCUCCCUCCCGUCUUCAGUGGCAGUGUGAUGAGUGUCGGGGUCCUGGGGUUCAGUGUGUGUGUGGGGGUGUGUGUGAGUGGGUGCAGGGCGGGGCUUUCCCCUGAGAGUCUCCCAGCGGGAGGGAAGGGGCUGGCGGGUUUGUUAGUGGAUUCUCUGAGUAAGAUGUGGGUUUUGUCCUGGGCAGCUUGGGACCUCAGCUGAGCAGGUCACCUUGUCCCCACACUUGUCGGUGCCCGAGUUGCUGGCCUGUGCCGUCCCUCCCUGCCCAUCACCCUCAGCAGCACGGUGGAGAGGGGCUGAGAUGGCUCACCUGGUGCCUGGGAGGCGGGGCCAUCACACCCUGCUCACCUGUGGCUCCGGAGCCCCACUGCCCCUCUGUAAAACCCCACCCUGUCACCUGGGAACCCGUGACACCUGCUAGGACCCACAGAGCCCCGUCCAGGGUGGGCUCAUCCUUGAUGAGGACAUGUACUGUGGCCAGUGCUGGUCACUGGGGGGACCUAGAGAUGGAGCUGGGGCACUGGGUGCACAGGCUCUUGGCAAGACCCCUUGGGAAGCUGAGGCUCUAGUGCCUGGUCCCCAGCCUGCCGGGGGGAAGUGCUUGGUACUUCCCCGCCCCCGUGUCAAGGCCACCAGCCCAGAGCCCCCUCCACCCUUGGAUUGAGCCCCUCCUCCCCUCGCCCCCACUCUGCUCACCUGACCUCAGCAUAGCCUGCUCUACGCAGGGUCUCCACAUCACAGCCUUUAAACUCAGGCACACCCCCAGAGGGGCCAGGGUCUUGGGCACCUGAGACAUUGCAAUCUUUUUUUAGUUAAUUUAAUAAGUUAUUUUUUGGUGGCACUUGGGAUGGAACCUAGGGUCACUCUUGCACUAGCUAUGUCCCCAGCUCUUGUUAAUUUGAGAAAGGGUCUUGCUGAGUUAUCCAGGCUGGCCUUGAAGUUGCCAUCCUCCUGCCUCAGCCUCCAAAGUAGCUGGGCAGGUGUGCACCACCACACCCAGCAGCCAUCUUUUCUUUGUGGUAAUCGAAUCAUUUGUUUAAUUAACUAGUAAUAAUAACGGUGAUUCGUCUCUAAAGACACAGUGAGGAGCUCAUAAAGAAAGCCCUCUGUGGCUGCACCCACUCCGCCCUGAGGGGGCCCCUGCCAGGUCCUUGGCUGUGUUGCCAGGGUCACCUCUGCUGUUGUUUAUUUUCUUUAAUUCUCAGAUACUUCACCUUCCACUAGAAAACUUUGAUCUGAGUUAACAAGAUCUAUGUGUAGUGGGCUGAAUCAUGGCCCCAAAGAGAUCCACGGCUCCAUCCUGGAACCUGUGAAUAUGGGCCCCACACCUUGGGACGUCCUAGCCGGUGGGACUGACUUAGGGACGGAGAUGGGGACAUUAGCUUCGGUGAUCCUGGUGGGCUGAAGUCAUCACCGGGUCCCUGUCAGAGGAAGGCCCGAGAUGUGAGGCAGGAGCAGAGGCCAGAGCAGGGGAGCCACACUGCUGCUGGGGUGAUUAGGAUCUGGACUGUCCUCAGAGUCUCCUGGGUGCAGAGGGGGCUUUGGGGAAGUGGCUGGAUCACGGGGCUCUGACCUCAGCAGUGGAUUCGCCCACUGAUGGCUGGGAGAGUCCUGGAGCGGGGACCUAGUUGGAGAAGUCAGCCUUGGGAAGCCCUAGGAGGUUCCGUCUUCUCCGCCCUCCCCCACUUCUGCCCUUCCCGGCUGCCGCGAGCCGAGCGGGUCUGCUCCUCCAGCUCCUCACGUCGGGUUCAAAGCAAUGGAGUCAUCUGACCAAAACUCUGAAGCCACGAGCCAUAAUCGAUCUUCCCUCCUCUAAGUUGUUUUCAUCAAGUAUCUUGGUCACAGUGACCGAGUGUUGACUGAUACAGAAAAUUGGUUCCAGAAGUGGGGUCAUCGUUGUGACUAUGUGAACCCCUGGCGCUGUGGUUUGGAAGCCUUUGGAACUGGUUUGUAGGAGGAGUUUGGAAAAGUCGGAGAUGCAGGCUGGAGAUUCUCCUUCGAAUGUAAGGAGAACUUAGUGGGUGAUUGUGACGGGACCCCAGAAUUCAGAAUGCCAGGAGGAACGCAGACAGUAAGACUGUGCUCAGGAACCUUCGCAUGGGACGAGGUCUCUGCUGGGAAUUGGACCAGAGGCCGUUUGUUACAUCCUGGAAAAUAACUUCUCUCCAUUUUGCCCGUGUUCUGAGACUUUCUGUGAGGCUGAAUUUAAGGUGAUGGACACAUCAGCGGAGGAGAUUUCAAGGCAGCACCCAUUGAGAUGUUGGCGUAGAUAUUGUGGGCAGCUUGGGGCCAGAUUCACCAUGAGAACUGGAAGCAGAAAACAGAGGGAAAAGGCUUAAAAACUAGCAGUUUGGCCAGAAAAGCAUCGAAAGUUGGGGCCAAGGAGGAUGCAGGUGCUCAGGAGAGUAGAUAAAAGAGAAGCCCAGAACGUCGCACAGGGCACAGGGAUGGUGGGAAAGUGGCCCUGAGGGCAACUCAAACAUCCAGGCCACACCCACUUGCUCCAAAGUAGAAAAGGGUCCACUGGUUUGAAAGGCGCUGCUUGGAGGGGAGAGCACCAGUGCUGCCCAGGAAGUCAUCUCCCCAGGCACUCAGAGGCGGCUGCAGCCGUGGCCCCAGGGGGCCUGGCUGCUGCUCGAGCUGGUGACAGACCUUGGCAUCGCCCAUGUGGUCUGGUUCUGCAAGACGCUGGAGUCUGGGGGUCAUGAAGGCUUCCACUGAGAUUUUAAGGAAGGCCCGCAAGGGGCAGACACCGUGUUUCAGGGUCCUCGCUGGCAGUCCCUGACAGGGUGAUGUGUGAAGCUGAAAACUGAGGCUGUGAUGGAGAAGCCAAGAAGUCAGAGGUGCCGGGAAGGCGGACUGUUUGCAGAGGAGAACCAGGCAGUGAGCAGAGCCAGCACAAGAGAGCCGCACAGGCAGGGCUUCCCCAGCCCCGUGGGACCCACACUCCACCUCCAAGGGUCGUGGAGCCCAACGUGGAGCCACAGGACUUGGUGUUUGCCUGCUGAGUUUUGGUCUGUUUUGACCCCGCCCUUUCUGACUAUGCCUCUAUUCCUUCCUUUGGGAAUGGGAAUGUUCUGCGUGCCGUUUUAUGUUGUAUCUAAGUAACUUGCUUUGGAUUCUGGGGCUCACAGCCAGAAGGUUGCCUUGAGUCUCCGAGGAGAUCUUGGACUUGGUUUUUUGAGCAGUGGAGGGACUGUUGAGACUGCGGGGACCCUGUGGGUGGACUAGACACAUUCUGCACUGUGUGAUCAUCAGGAGACCCUGGGGCCAGGGAUGGAAUGUGAUGGGUCGUAUCUGGAAUGUCCCCAGAGUCUCAUGCGAGCUGGGGACGGGGGAGUAGUGAUGGGAUCACGAGGCUCUGACCUCAGCAGUGGAUUAAUCCGCUGUUGGCUGAAUGGAUGACCGAGCCCAAAGUGGAGGAAGGAUGUCACUGGGGUGUGCCUUGGAAGGGUCUCUCAGGCCUCUCUUAAGAGCCCACAUUUAUAGAAAGCUAAAUAAGAACCAGAGUGAUUGAUGAUUCAAGUUGUGUACUAAACCACAGCUUGCAAAACACAUCUUAGCAGAUGCCAUGGCCCCCAGCCACAGCUUUGAAGCCCAUAUUUAUUUGGCCACUUGAGAGGGCAAGAGCCCUCUCUGGCUCCCUGCGGAGGAGGUUUCGACACGGCUCUGCUGCCCUGGCAGCUGUGGAGUGAACCCUCCCCGCCAAGCACUGCGGCCUCCGCCUCCCCGUGGUGAUGGCUGCCCCGGGAAGGGCCUGAGACCAGGCAGGGAGCAGGCCCGGGCGCCUUCCGCCACAUCACUGGGGCCUGUGGGGUCCCCUCAAAGGAAACCCAAGUCUUGAGGAUGUGUCUGUGCAGGCCGAGGGAGCCCCGAGAAGCACCUGGGUGUCACAGUCCCCUCCACAUACAGCCUCCCAUGCCCCUCAGGCCUCUCUCAGCUGGAGGAGUCAGUGGGCACACUGCUCUGGGCUUGCUCCUUCUCAGUGCAAGCCCCUUGGAAGCGGCUGUCAGCGGUGGCUGUGGUCAUGGCUACCAUUCUUGCUGCAUCUCACAGCAAAACAAAGUUGAUCCGUGAUGGCCGGGAAUAAAAGACUGACAUCUCCCACAUGGUGUCGGGCGGGAAGUUUCCCAGGCCAGGCCUAGACAGAGCAGCGCCCACGGAAUGUCCCUGAGCCUGAUGGGGCACUCGGCACCAUCCUGAGCGGCUGAGGAGCCAGAGGCCCUCAGAGCCACUGACAGCCCCCUUCUGCCCAGGAGCCUUGGGGUCAUGGGGCCCUUCUCCUGUGGCUAUCUUCUCCUCUUCUGAGGACGCCAGCUGUGUUGGACCAGGGCCACCCUGAUCCUAUGACGGCGCCUAGGCUGAUGGCCUUCGCAAGACUCCACCUCCCAGGAAGUCAGCCUCAGGCACGGCAUUUGUGACCUCAGCUGACCUCCGGGGGCACAACUCCACCCCGACAUGUCUUCUCACUCAUUGAGGGUCCCCUCUCCAGAGCCCUCCUGUUGUUCUCUGGACUGCUGGCUCUCUGCAGCGGUGAAGGGGCCACCAGGCUCUCUGCCCUCGUCCUGAGAGCUGGAGAGCCUGCUGUGGGCCCAACCCCUCUCAGCUCCUUGGAGGCCUCCUCAUUUUGCUGAAGCAUGUCCUGGAGAAGGCACGAGGGCGCACCUCUCCCAGUCCCCGGGAGCCUGGACACCUGCCAUCCACUUCCAUGCCUGCUGGACAGUUUGGCUGGGGAUGAAAUCCUCAGCAGAAAACCUUCUGAGGGCAUUGCUGGGGCUGCCCACCCACUCCAGCAGCUCCACCUGCCCAUGGCGGGGAGCCUGAUGACAACUUCGUUUUCAAGGAUGAGGGAGAUGUUCCUCAGAAAUAUUUAAGAGUCUCCCUUUUUUCCCCUUCAUUUUCUGAAAUUCACAAUAUUUUAAUUCAUUAUUACUACUCAUGGUUGUGGCUCCUUUUCAACUGGACCUUUUGGCCUGAAAAUUCACAUCCCUUCAAUUCAGAAACUUCGGUUUCUGUGUCAGGCAGCCUUGUGUUACUAUAACAAAACCACCAAGGCAGGCUGUUUUAUAAAACGGUUUAUUUUAGCUCAUGGUUCUGGAGGUCCAAGGUCAAGGGGUUGCCUCUGGUGAUGGCUUUCCUGUUGGCAGAGUCCUGAGGCAGCACAGAGAAUCCCAUGUCGUGUGUGUGUGUGUGUGUGUGUCCUCUGGUCUCCCUCCCUAUUUUAUAAAGCCACCAGGACCCAGUCAUAGGGGCCCCAGCCUGUGGCCUUGUCUAAUCCUGAUCCCUCCAAAGCCCCCACGCUCAGCACCGGGUGGCCUUUCCAUCCUCCUGAUACCUCACGGUGGUGACUGAAUCUCAGCAGGGUGCCAUGGGGGACACCCAAGCCCCCCAAACCACAGCGCUCUGCCCCGUCCUGCCUGGGUUCUCUGGCUGGGGUCCUGCUGGCCACACACCCAGCCUCGGCCUGUCUGGCUUCCUGUCUUCUCUGUCAGAUGCCCUUGUCCCUGCCUCCCCACUGUCCCCUGAGUUUCAGUGGUGGCUACACUUGAACCUCCAGCUCUGUCUUGGGCCUGUGCUGCGUGGUGGGGGCCGCCUCUCCUCUGGAGCCGUAAGCAGCAGGGGUGCUGCGGCCAGCACUGUCCACCAUGACUCGCCUGUUUCUUCCAGGGUCCAUAGUUUCCCUCUCGCCCCGUCUGCCUCAUGUCACCAGGCACUCACUGGUGGCCUGCUCUCUGGUAACCACACACGAGGAUCCCCUGAGACUUAGGCACAUAAUGCUGGGGUGCAGGAGAGGCCUCAAUUCUAGAACCUGGGUGGCCUCGCAACACGGGUUCCUUUAACUCAGAAUCAGAACCCGCCACUAUAGACCGAAUGUCUGCGUCCCCAGUUCACAUCCGGGGGCAUCUAUGCCCCCAGGGGCUGGUGUUGACGUGGGCCUGCAGGAGGUGACGAGGUCACGAGGAGAAAUCCUGAUGGGAGACCCAGAGCUGUCCUCUCUCUGCUGUGUCAAGGCACAAGGAGAAAGUGGCCAUCCACAAUCCUCCCCAGACACGGACCUGCCGGCACCUGGACCUCGGACGUCCAGACAGAACCAGGAGAAACAGUUGCUGGUGUUGAACGGCGAGGGGACAGGCGCCGGGGUGGGGGCAGGAGGGAGGGACUCAUUCUAUGAGUGGCCCACGUGCUGACCCUCACGAGCCUUCUUUGUCAGAAGCACUUACCUGCAGCCCUGCCUGGCUGGAGUGGACCCAUGAGGAGACACAGUCCCCAGCACACGACCUGUUAUCUGCUGGAGAAACGCAGGCGCAAAAUCAUGUCGAUAAGCCUACCCCGAAGGGCUUUUGUGACCAGAUCUAGGAGCUCAGGAUAUUAAGGAUAAUUCUUCCUCACCAUAAAAUCUGAAAUGAUUUAUGUUAAGAAUCCAAUUAGAGCCAGGAACAGUGGUGCACGCCUGUAAUCCCAGUGGCUCGGGAGGCUGAGGUAGGAGGGUCACAAAUUCAGACCCAGCCUCAGCAAAAGUGAGGCACUUAGCAACUCAGUGAGACCCUGUCUCUAAAUAAAAUACAAAAUAGGGCUGGGGAUACGGCCGAGUGCCCCUGGGUUCAGUCCUCAGUACCCCGCCCCAGGAAAGAAAUCCAGUUACUAGUGGUCAGUGUGAGACAAGGUGACUAGGGUUGUCAUGGCCGUGGGGACUUGAAAGUCUGAUGUCAUCCUGCUGUCAAUCAAAAGUCAAGAGGUGGACCUGGGUGGGACUUUCUGGAAACUUCUCUGGACUGCCCCAAUAAAACUGGAGUGCAAGAGUGGCACGCUGUCCCUCUCCUCUCUGAGAGGAGCCCCUCUCCCUUGAGAGUGUCCCUGCUGCCCUUUUCUGCCCCUUUGAUAAACUCAUGCCCAUUACUCUGAGUGACAAGCCUGAAAUCUUUCUGACUUGAUCACAAGACGCAGGGUUUGAGGCGGGGCAGGGGACGGUCCUUGAGCUGCCUCAGUGUGUGGAAGACCCCAGCUCUGUACAGAACCACCCUCGUCGCCAUGCCUUGUGACAGCCGCCUGAGCCGGGCCAGGACUGUCACCUCUGUAGCCACCUGCAGAGCCUGACAGAGCAGGGGUCUGGAGAAAAGACCCCAGGUAGUGGGGGGGGGUGUGCCUGAACCCAGAGUGUCCCUGUCCCUUGGCCUCCCACCAGCCCCUUUGCCCUCUGGCCAAGCUGGACACAGCCAUCUGUGCGGCCAGCUCAGGAGGCCAGAACACAGUGUGGGCUCCAGGCCGCAGGAAACAUCAGGUAGGGGUGUCGCGAGGAGCACUGGCCGUCAGGUAGGGGUGGUGCCUCUCUGCAUUGGCCGGCACAGACACGGCUGUCCAGCUGCCAGGGCUGGAAGUCCUCACUGCGCUCCACCCUGGAUCCCUGGCCGCCUCCAGCUGGGCUGCCCUGCCCUCCCUCCUCCCCUCUCCACCAGAGUGACUAAUAGCCCGCUCCCCUGGGUGUAGGCACGUCUGCUCCCAGGCCCUCCUGCCCCUGCACAUCUGCAUUGAAUCCAGCAUGACGCAGCGCAAGGGGGGGCCGUGGGGGAACAUGGGGGCAGUGGGGGCUGUGGGGGCUUNNNNNNNNNNNNNNNNNNNNNNNNNNNNNNNNNNNNNNNNNNNNNNNNNNNNNNNNNNNNNNNNNNNNNNNNNNNNNNNNNNNNNNNNNNNNNNNNNNNNNNNNNNNNNNNNNNNNNNNNNNNNNNNNNNNNNNNNNNNNNNNNNNNNNNNNNNNNNNNNNNNNNNNNNNNNNNNNNNNNNNNNNNNNNNNNNNNNNNNNNNNNNNNNNNNNNNNNNNNNNNNNNNNNNNNNNNNNNNNNNNNNNNNNNNNNNNNNNNNNNNNNNNNNNNNNNNNNNNNNNNNNNNNNNNNNNNNNNNNNNNNNNNNNNNNNNNNNNNNNNNNNNNNNNNNNNNNNNNNNNNNNNNGGGGGCUGAGGGGGAACAUGGGGGCCGUGGGGGCUGAGGGGGCUGAGGGGGAACAUGGGGGCCGUGGGGGCUGAGGGGGCUGAGGGGGAACAUGGGGGCCGUGGGGGCUGAGGGGGCUGUGGGGGCCGUGGGGGCUGAGGGGGAACAUGGGGGCCAUGGGGGCCGUGGCCGUGGGGGCUGAGGGGGCCGUGGGGCCGUGGGAGCUUUGUGGGCCAUAGGGCCAUGGGGACCGGGGGCUGUGGGGGUCAGGGGCCAUGGGGGCAGUGGAGGCCGUGGGGCCGUGGGAGCCGUGGGCGCUGGGUAGGUAGCAGGGACUCUUCAGCUCAUCCUGGGACCCAGCGGCUUCUCUGAACCAGAGGGAUGAUACACAAUCUGCCUCUAGCUCUCCCUGUGGAGCAUGCAGUAGGUGCCUAAUGAAUGCUUAGAGAUGGGUGGCCAAAGCCCUCAGGACCUUCGGCUGGCGAGUGCUGGCCAGGUGGACAUCCUGUGCCGAGGGGAGGGAUCGCUUCUGUUUGCUUCGCUGGGAGCCAUGGACACAGGGCUUGACCCUCAGCCACAGUCAAGAGUGCAGACUUGGAAUGUGCUUCUCUGGGAAAUGAGCCCCAGCGUCCCCGGCGUCUGGGGCUCCUGCAGGCCUUGCAGAUGUUGGGGAAGAAGGAACACACAUGGGUGUCCUGUAAAUCCCUGGGUUCAGAGGUCCCAGUCCACUACAGCCCAGCUCCGAGAGAAUGCCCAGCCCCUGGGGCCAUGGCCGACCCCAGCCAGACUCUGCUGAGCCCUGAGACCACCUGAGUGCCCAGCAGAGGGCAGGGGCUCCAGCCUGGGCCACGGGGGAUGGGCCAGUGUCAAGACACGGCCCACUGCCCAUUGAGGAGGUGCAGCAGGCCCCAGGGCUGCACCGCAGGAGGAUGGACUUAAGGAUGGGUGGAGAGGAGGCUUGUGGGGCCACCAAGAGGGGCCACACUCCAACCCAGACCUCCCGGCACGUGCACACGCUUGGUCACAAAGAGCAACUGAGUCAACCACGAGGCCUCACGGCCAGGAGCACAGAGGGACCGUGUGCGCAGAGCAGAACACAUCAGCAAUGAGGAAAUCAGCCCUGUGGUCAGCCUGCCCAGUCGCAGCCCAGGGGCGGGCUGGAAACACCCCUCCGCCCUCUGUCUGCCGUGCUGAUCUGACCACGCCGCGUGCCUGGCCUGCACAGCUCCGCUGCCCGAUGCCCACACUGCACCGUCUCAGAGCGAGCCUCCUCUCUCAGGGAGGUCAGCCUGGCCUUGCUUUCACCUGUCCUGAGAUUCCUUGUCACGAUGACGACAAGGACCCUCAUGGCCUGAGUUGAGGUCCAUCUCCCUUCAGGGGACCUCCUCAGGACCCUUGCCCCUGGGACACAGCUGCUCCUCAACAGCACAGCAGAGGGCUGGGCCUUGCCGCAGAGUGACCAGGAGGUGGGCACCAGCUGCCCAGCAGGACAGAGGGUACCCAGUGGGGGGAGGGCCAGCCCAGUGUACCUGCCCACAGCUGUGGGAUCCAGCUGCUGCCCUGUCCUCUGAUGUCAUCCUGCUCCACAGGUGACUCCCCCACCACAUCACGCCUCCCCAGCCUCCCUCCCUGCCCCACCAGGCUGCCCCCACCUCUGCCCUCUACAAACCUGGGGUUGCCCCCGAGCCCGCACCCCUGUGGACCUCUGUAAAGUGGGCGGCUCGUUGCCAUCCAUCAGACCAGGGAGGCCUGCCCUGUGCCGGGCUCUGCACCCCACACACCCUUGACCCACCGUCCCCAAGGACAGAGUCUGUGGGUCUUUGCUGGAGGUGCACGGUGGGGUGGGGGAGGGGCCCCCAUCAUGGGCACUUCGUGGACAGUGGCGGCUGCAGAGAACACAGGUGCACAGGACAGGUCCCGGCAGGGCAGCACACCACGCCACAAUGGCCACAGAGCAGGAGGGCGUGGUGGGCAGUGGGGACCCCAAAGUGAGCAGGCACCCCAUCCCUGAAGGGCCAUUGCUCCACGUACGCUCGUGUCUUUUCCUUCUCCCUUGACCUCGCCAGCAUCUGACCGAUUUCCCCCCAAACACGUGCCAUCCUUUUCUCUCUGUGUGACAGUCAUGACUUGAUCCCUUCACAGGUCAUCUUUGAGCAUGCGUGACUUGGGACCGUGAGAGCUCCUGGGUAUGAGGCGGCCCCUUGGAGCAGAUCUGCGCCCCUGCCCAGUCCUACUUACUCAUGAUUUCAGAAAGUCAACAAGUCAAAGUGCUCGCAGAGGAACAGGCUCAGGUCCCACAAGGCGUGUCAGCGUUAAACCAAAAGGGAACUGGCCCUGUGAGCAGGCUGGUUCUGGUCUGGGGGCCCCGGAUGUGCGGCCUGUGGAGGAGACACACGCGGGUGAGCUCAGGAAACAGCGGUGCCAGCACAGGAAGGCCACUGCAAAUGGGGGUCGGUCCGAGUCCCUUCAGGAUGUGGCCGUGGGUUUACCCUGCGCCAUGGCUGCCCCCCGUUUCCCCACUGGCUGUAGCCCUAGGCAGUGGCCAGCCGAGGCUCUGCCCCCUGUAGCUGGGCAUCCCCAGCCCCCCGCCUCGUGCCAGCCUGCACAUCCUCACGCCCACAGCCAGCCCCGCCCCUUCCCACCAGCAACGGCAACAACAGCAGUCACCAUUCUAGGGUCCAAGUGACAGGCUGGGCUUGGGGGGCCCUGCAGGCCUGCAGAACCUCAGCCUGAGUGCCCAGGGUUGUGCCCUUUCCUCUCGAGGACGCCUGUCCCAGGGUGUGCAGCUGACCGCCUCGGUCAUCCUUACAGCUGCAGGCCUGGUGUCCUGAGGCCGAUGAGCCGUUGACCCCUGCCUCCCGAAGCCCCACCGAGCAUUCUGCUCAGAAAGGGACUGGCCACCCAAAUAUCUAGCGGUUGCUGCUCUGAGCCCAGCAGCCCUGAACCGGCAGGGCGUGGCCUAAAACGGUGUGCGGGUGGCUGGCCAAGCACCUGUGCUGUGGCUGCUGUCCCCCCCUGAGCCGGCCACGCACCUGCCCGCUCCGCUCCUCUGGGGGCGUCUCCACCCCCAGGAAAGAAUGGGGCCCUCUGAGCAGGGAGCUGUGGCUGGGGAGGUGUCACUCCUCCGGUCCUUUGUCAGGCUUAGGCUUGGGAGGCAACAGUAGCCGGGCCACAUGUAGAACAGCCACCACCUGCAGCCCGGGGACAGAGGGCUCAGGCACAGCGUGCAUCCAGGGACACGGAGGCAUGGCUCAGACCAGGGCUUCUCACCUGCGGUGACUUUGAAUUCCAGAGGAUCCUUGGCAGACUCCAGAGACGCUUCACGUUGUCACUCUAGUCCGGUGGCAGUGGGGACGCUGUUCACACCUGCAUGCACUUAUCCUCUGUGUCCCUCCUCCAUCCCUCCUCCAUCCUGCCCUCCUGUCCUGGGAGGCACAGGUUUGCUCCUGGAGCUUAAGGACGGACCCCAGAGGACACAGUGCCAGUGACCACAUCAAGGGUGCACGCCCAGCUCAGCGCCACACCUGCUAGCCCUGAGGACCUGAAGGGUGUCAGGCUGGUGACUCCUGGGGCUCCCUGCUGACUGGACCUCCUGCAGAGGCCCUGGGGUCCUGACACCGAGCCUUGGGCAUGGAAGGACUGGGGCCUCAGGUCAGGUUUGCUGGAGACAAGGGCUUCAAGGGGCCUGAGGCCCUGGGAGCUGGGUGGGUGCCUGAGAGGAGGGGCCACCAGGGCUGGUGAAUGGACACUGAGAAGGGCCACAACAGGGCCUCUCGGAGAGCCAGAGAGGGAGAAGGGAGGGUAGUGGAGGCCGGCUGUAGAGGAGGCCCAGCCGUGGGAGGCCGGGGCCUACGGAAGCCCUCCUGCACACCCGGGCUUCCCAGGACGGACAGGCUCUGGCAGGUCGUCUGGAGUUGUGUCCGACCACUCAGGAGUCAGGAGAUCGGGGAAGAAGGUUCCCCAUCCUGUUCCACCUGCAGGGUCAGGCCACCCACUCACCUCCAGGGGAAACAGGCAUGACUCAGAGCCCAGGCCUCUGCCCACACUGGUGGCAGUUACCCACAGCCCACAGCUGGCAGGUCUCAGACCGCUAAGAACGGAGCCCUCGGCUCGCCCACUGGCUGGGAGUAGUGGUCACUUCAGGAGAGGAUCCUGCCCCCAGGCUGCUCCUCAGGGCAGCAGGGCUCCGCUUGCCUGGCACCCUGUCCCUUGGCCAACACCCUUCCAGGAUACACCCUUGGUGCCCGUGUGGCCUGGGAAGUGGGACCUGUGCAGACAAGUCCUCGGGUGGGGGAGGCCCGCAGGAGCCAGGGCCUGGCAGCCCACGGCAGCAUCCUCACCUGGAGAAAGAGCGUCUCCAGGUGCACCCCCCACCCACAGGAAGUAGAGGACAGGAAGGAGCAUUCCUUGGUGAUGGGCACCUCCAUCGAUUCAGGGAGGAAGAGAUUUCUUCCUUCCGCUCAUUUACUCAUUGGCUUUGGUCGGUGCUUUGCAGACGUGCAUGAGGGUAGGCGUCUACACGUGCACAGCCAGGUCUUGUCACGGUCCUCUGCAUCUCCUCCCCUCCCCUGUCCUCCCCCUCCCUCUGUCCCAUGGGCUCCCCUCUGGGCCACUCUGCCCGCUCUCCCCCUCCCUGGUCAGCCUUCUGCCUGGCCUUGACUCUCCGGGUCUGGCUCAUGUCACUCAGCAUGACCUUCUCCAGCUCUGUCCAUCACCGGCCACAGACCUUAGGAGGAGCCCCUGUCCCCAUCUGGGGCAUGGUGGACGGGCCAUGUUCCUGCCUGCCAAGGGAGACUUUGCCCUGGCUGCCCUCCCACCCUCCUCCACGGGCCUGUCCUGCCCUGGGGAGAAACAUUCCGGUGUCUCGUCAGCCCCUGGGCCACGUCUUCUGGUGACAACGUCUGACAUGCCAUGUCUCUCUCUUGCAGGCGAGGAGUGUGGAUGCUGCCGUCACCUGUGUUCCCGACCCCAGACAGGGCGUGUGAGUCGUGAAUGAAGGAGGGAUGCGGGGGACCAGCACCCAGCCCGCCAGCUGUCUCUCCUCUUCCAGAGCCUGGUCCCCAACAGCACCUGGUGUGACUGACUGCUGCCUGGCCCUACCCGCCCCCGCCGCCGGCUCGGCAUUCUGAGCGAGGGGCGAGCGCUGCAUGAUGAAUGGCUGCAGAGCAAGGGGCACUGGCCAACGAGGGGAGGCCAGGUGCCACGGCAGGACGGUCUCAGAGAAGGGAGGUGUGCCUGGUCCUGGGCCCAUACGACCCAUGUGGGGGCCCCAGAUGACAGUGUUGACACUAGACACCAUUAAAAAAGUGUUUUAACCAACCAGGU